GAUGAAGAACGUAGCGAAAUGCGAUACUUGGUGUGAAUUGCAGAAUCCCGUGAACCAUCGAGUCUUUGAACGCAAGUUGCGCCCGAAGCCUUUAGGCCGAGGGCACGCCUGCCUGGGCGUCACACGCCGUUGCCCCCCCCGCGCCUCCCUCGGGAGCGUCGGGGGGCGGACGAUGGCCUCCCGUGCGUCACCCCGCGCGGCUGGCACAAAUGCCGGGUCCUCGGCGACGAACGCCACGACAAUCGGUGGUUGUCGAACCUCGGUUGCCCGUUGUGCGCUUUCGUCGCGCUCCGAUCGGCCCGCGACGCUCCCCGCUCCGCUUCGGCCGAGCUUUCGACGCGACCCCAGGUCAGGCGGAGUUACCCGCUGAAUUUAAGCAUAUCAAUAAGCGGAGGA
RNAcentral lists this unclassified non-coding RNA (396 nucleotides) under soil metagenome. RNAcentral's name for it is "partial contains 5.8S ribosomal RNA, internal transcribed spacer 2, and large subunit ribosomal RNA". The stretch from base 1 to 122 matches the Rfam family "5.8S ribosomal RNA", at positions 35 to 154 of the family's 154-position model. The record is from RNAcentral.